GUGAAGAGUGAAGUUACUCUGGGAGCUUCACGAUCCAGAGGGACAAUAAUACCAGGGAUAAAGAUAUCAUGGACAGGUGGGUUAGGGACAGGGGACAGUUACGCUGUAGACAAGUGGGUUAGAGACAGGACACAGUUACACCAUGGACAGGUGGGUUAGGGACAGGGGACAAUUAUGCCGUGGACAGGUGGGUUAGGGAUGGGGGACGUUAUACCGUGGACAGGUUAAAGACAGAACACAGUUAUACCAUGGACAGGUUAGAGAUAGGACCCAGUUACACCAUGGACAGGUGGGUUAGAGACAGGACACAAUUAUACCGUGGACAGGUGGGUUAGGGACGGGGGACAGUUAUACCGUGGACAGGCUAGAGACAGAACACAGUUAUACCAUGGACAGGUUAGAGAUAGGACCCAGUUACACCAUGGACAGGUGGGUUAGAGACAGGACACAGUUAUACGGUGGACAGGGGUUAAAGACAGGACACAGUUACACCGUGGACAGGUGGGUUAGAGACAGGACACAGUUAUACGGUGGACAGGUGGGUUAGAGACAGGACACAGUUACACCGUGGACAGGUGGGUUAGAGACAGGACACAGUUAUACGGUGGACAGGUGGGUUAGAGACAGGACACAGUUACACUGUGGACAGGUGGGUUAGAGACAGGACACAGUUAUACGGUGGACAGAUGGGUUAGAGACAGGACACAGUUAUACCGUGGACAGGUGGGUUAGAGACAGGACACAGUUAUACGGUGGACAGGUGGGUUAGAGACAGGACACAGUUACACCGUGGACAGGUGGGUUAGAGACAGGACACAGUUACACCAAUCAGUUACACAGGGGAGAGGGCUUCAGAGGACAAGCACAGGUACACUUUAGGGAAAGGCUCCUCAGAGAGGAGGUGGAGGUGUACAACAUUCUGGGGGAAGGCCCACGAUUAUAGAGCCCUGGUUUGCACACUCCUUGGGAUAUGGAGGUGUCUGGGGGAGAGGGGGGCUC
Long non-coding RNA from Antechinus flavipes (yellow-footed antechinus), 999 nucleotides. RefSeq lists it as uncharacterized. The record is from RefSeq and is a predicted model, not a curated record. NCBI's taxonomy places the organism in Eukaryota, Metazoa, Chordata, Mammalia, Dasyuromorphia, Dasyuridae. The transcript is spliced from 3 exons.